This 656-nucleotide long non-coding RNA is filed under the name Phascolarctos cinereus (koala). Its description in RNAcentral is "lncRNA (ENSPCIG00000016786.2)". The record is from RNAcentral. Lineage: Eukaryota; Metazoa; Chordata; Mammalia; Diprotodontia; Phascolarctidae.
AGGCUACAGGUCUUUUAGAACAGCAGAUGCUAAAACUAGUUCUGUCUUCCCCACAGGCUGCCUCUCUCUUGCUCAGUGGCAGGCAAUGCAGUCUGUCUGUGUUGGGAAGAUUCUCAUGUCUGUCAAUGGUACCACCGAUCUUUUGGUCCUCAGAGUCCUGAGCCUGAAGUUAUCUUUGGAUUUGUAAAAUGAAGAAGAAGGAGUCAAUCAAUCACCAACACUCGUUCUUCCUCUGUAACAUCUCUUGGAACACUCUCCUCUGCUAAAAGGAGGAGAAAGGGAACGAGAGCCUCCACGUGGGGAAAAAAGUAGGAGAAAGCCAUGUUAUGAUAUUGAUGUUUUGGGGGAAGGGAAGGGAGAGAGAAGACUAAUAACCCCAUUGAAGACUUUCCUCCAUCUAAUGAGAGUUACUUUAUACAUCAUCAGGACAUACUGCAAUCCUGGCAGGCAGGCAGAACAAGGAAGUGCUGCUGAGGAAAAACCAGAGGUCUUCCAUGACAAUCAAUCCGUUGGAAAGUUACAUGGAAGGGCUCCUUAACAGGCAUUGGGAAGUUAUAGUUGUCCAAAAAAAGAUCCUGUCAUUCUUGGGGAGGUAGCUGAGGAGAUAUAUUUUGGGAUUCAAAGGCUCUGAAAUAAAACUAAUCCUAUUCCACUCA